CCCUUAGAUGUUCUGGGCUGCACGCGCGCUACACUGAUGCGCUCAACGAGUUUUAACCUUGCCUGGAAAGGUUGGGUAAUCUUUUUAAAACGCAUCGUGAUGGGGAUAGAUUAUUGCAAUUAUUAAUCUUCAACGAGGAAUUCCUAGUAAGCGCGAGUCAUCAGCUCGUGCUGAUUACGUCCCUGCCCUUUGUACACACCGCCCGUCGCUCCUACCGAUUGAAUGGUCCGGUGAAGCCUCCGGAUUGGCGCGCACCUCGGUGCCGCCGAGAAGUUGGCUAAACCUUACCAUUUAGAGGAAGGUGAAGUCGUAACA
RNAcentral lists this ribosomal RNA (315 nucleotides) under uncultured eukaryote. RNAcentral describes it as "partial 18S ribosomal RNA". It matches the Rfam family "Eukaryotic small subunit ribosomal RNA", at positions 1470 to 1796 of the family's 1831-position model. The record is from RNAcentral.